UGCAGUCGCACGAGAACGCUUCAGCUUGCUGAAGUUAGUAAAGUGGCGCACGGGUGAGUAACGCGUGGGUAAUCUACCUCCGAAUUGGGGAUAACCCCGCGAAAGCGGGGCUAAUACCGAAUGACAUUUUUAAAACUCAAGUUUUAGAGAUCAAAGGUGGCCUCUACUUGUAAGCUACUGUUUGGGGAUGAGCCCGCGUACCAUUAGCUAGUUGGUAGGGUAAGAGCCUACCAAGGCAACGAUGGUUAGCUGGUCUGAGAGGAUGAUCAGCCACACUGGAACUGACACACGGUCCAGACUCCUACGGGAGGCAGCAGUGAGGAAUUUUGCGCAAUGGGGGAAACCCUGACGCAGCAACGCCGCGUGAGUGAUGAAGGCUUUCGGGUCGUAAAGCUCUGUCAAGUGGGAAGAACCCACAUGGUGAUAAUAAUGCCAUGUGUUGACGGUACCACUGAAGGAAGCACCGGCUAACUCCGUGCCAGCAGCCGCGGUAAUACGGGGGG
This 503-nucleotide ribosomal RNA is filed under the name uncultured delta proteobacterium. Its description in RNAcentral is "bacterial SSU rRNA". It matches the Rfam family "Bacterial small subunit ribosomal RNA", at positions 56 to 532 of the family's 1533-position model. Lineage: Bacteria; Deltaproteobacteria. The record is from RNAcentral.